Molecule: long non-coding RNA, 1677 nt
Organism: Pogoniulus pusillus (Red-fronted tinkerbird)
Lineage: Eukaryota; Metazoa; Chordata; Aves; Piciformes; Lybiidae
Exons: 9
Source: RefSeq, a predicted model, not a curated record
CAACCCUGCCAUUUUGGAGGAGGUGCUGCAGCAGUCAUCUCGUGUGGGCCAUAGAAGACUCAAGCUCAAGCAGGGGAAGAGUGUGGAGAGAAAGGUGCUGCAGUGGGGAGCUCCAUCGAGGCCUGCUCAGAAGCUCUGGUCUGGCAGAUGUGAUGUACCAACGCUUCCUGCUCCUGCAGCGUUGCUGAUGGGCACCUGAGAGCCUGUGCACUGACUGGGAAGCAGGACUUAGGCACCUGAGUUCUGCUGAAAGCCUGGAGAGGAACAGGACAGAAAUAUCUACACCUGAAAACAAUGAUCAAAGCAAUACAAAUCCAUCCCUUUCUUAGGUGGAUUUUAAGUUCAAAAUGAGGUGUUCCUGCCUUAUCUAACUCAGGAGACCACGUCCCUGAGGACCUGACCAGCAAACUGCACUAAUGAAGUAUCCAUGUCACUUGAAGAUCUGAUUGUCAGCAUCAUAAAAAGCAGCCCUAGGAAAAGCCACAAAACAUGGCAUAACAUCCAGAAAAACUAGAAGUUGAAGAAUUUUCUGACAGAAAAUGUUCUUUUUCCCUCUGGUUUAUCAAACAGUCCAUUGCUUUUCUGGAUCACAAGAGAUGUAAGAACAAGUUCAACUUGCAUCAUCCUUCUCAGUUUCCUUAGCUGAAGUGUGACUUACAGUUGGAUGUAUCAUUACUUCGAAUCAGCUGCCAGGUUUGAUGCAGGGGUUGAAGUGAGGUCCUGACCCUGGCUCUUGCAUUGCAGACAGAAUCCCACAUUGUGAACUCUCCUGCCACCACCAAUAACAGAUGAGUGCAUGGACAUCUUAGUGACAAGUACUGGCUAGAGGGACAUUAUGUGGCACAGAGACAGGCAGACGACAUCCCCCAGGACAAGGCUCACUGAAUUCCAAGAGCCUGAAAGGAGUUAUCUCUGUUGGCACCAAGCAAAAUCACAAAGACUCUUGCAAACUCACACUGUGAAUAGUGUGAGAUUCUUUCACUUCAGUAAUGUCUCCAGCAGAGAGAAGGAGCCAAGGUUGCAGAGUAGCAGCAACGUUCCGGCCGAAACGUGAGCCGAGGAGCAUGUGCGAGGCAGCGGCACACCGUGAGGGCGAUGGGGCUGUCCCUCGCCGCUGCCGUGCAAACAGCAAAAGGAGCGACAAGUCCUGCUGCAGCCUGAGAUCUCCCCAGCACCACUCAGCCGUCUCUUGCACCUUCUUUGUUCUUAAUUUCGCCCAGCACUCGGCCCUUUCUGGGCACUGCUUCAGGUGCUCCAGCUCCACCCGUUGGAGCUGUGUCGGCAGCCAGCAGGGACACCCCCGUUUCCUGGCGCACUGACCCAUGCAGACCUGCUGAUUUCUAUGAAUGAAUGAAUGAAUCCCUUAAACAGCUACGGAGUGAGACAAUAUCUUCUUCCAUCCUUAAAGCCAGCCAAGUACACGCUUUGUUUUUAAACUGAAGUAGCUGCUCUGUCAGACAUCUCCCUGUCAGAUCCCACUCCUGUCAUCUCUUGGCAGUCCCUCCUGCAGUCACCUUGACAUCAGCUUGUAGGAACUGUCUUAUACUUGGCUUCCAAAACCUCUUCAGUCCAGAGAAUGUCAAACUUUCUUUUUCUUUUCUUUUUCUUUCUGUGCAGAACAGGCUGAACAAUGACAAAUGCAUUUUAAUGUGAAAUAAACAUUAAAAUGUUAACAGC